GACAAAUGGCUUCCAGGAAUGAGAGUCUUCAGGUAGUGGCACUGGUCUAUUAACAGGUCACACUCUGAGCAUUCUGGCAGGGGAGUGAGCUUCUCCUUCAAUUGUCUUCUGAGCUCCACAACUUCUCCUCUAAGCUGGCUCUCUGAUGCAUGUCUCAAGUAAACUUCCUUUUUCAGUUGGAUGUCUUUGUCUCUGAGUUGCUUCUCCAAGUCUCUUAUCUUCUUCUGAUAACUG
This 234-nucleotide long non-coding RNA is filed under the name Lathyrus oleraceus (garden pea). RNAcentral describes it as "Pisum sativum (pea) long non-coding RNA (PSAT_LNC030388)". The record is from RNAcentral. Lineage: Eukaryota; Viridiplantae; Streptophyta; Magnoliopsida; Fabales; Fabaceae.